RNAcentral lists this non-coding RNA (23 nucleotides) under Cricetulus griseus (Chinese hamster). The record is from RNAcentral. Lineage: Eukaryota; Metazoa; Chordata; Mammalia; Rodentia; Cricetidae.
UUGUCCCGGAACUAGCUCUUGUA